AGUAGCCACAAAAAGGGAAGCAAAAUGAUCAACGGAUUUGGUAUAAUUUUGUUUUAAGGGUGAGGUGUGUUCCAACAGAGAAGUUUUCAAAGGGUGAUCUCCCUCUUCAAUAUAAAGGGGAACUUGUCUCAGAGGAUGAAGGUUAUCAAAGAGAAGAUUUGCAUGUGGAAGAACUAAGAAGCUUUCUCUUCUUUUUUAAGGAUGGAUUCAAGUGUUUACGCCUUGAUGCAACAUUCUCUGCUGGACUUGGAAGACUUAAAAACGAUAAUCCAUUAAAUAAAGCAAAUGAGAAAGAUUAACGGUGAAGACAAAGUGUGCCUUGCCCUUUGUGGACUUCGGAACGGUGAAGGUCUACACUGUGACCAUGAAGUUAGAGAUCUUCCCAGGCGACAGCUAAAAGGUAAUGAGAGCAAGGCAGAUGGACUAAAGAAUGGGACAGUAAGGUGCAACACAAAAAAGAAGAAAAUAUGAACAAGGGCAACAGCAGUCCUGACAAUGAUGAAAGUUUCCACAUGGAUGUAACAACAAAUUCUGAAGAGAUUUACUCCCUGAAUCAGAUCAAUGACUGUCUAUUUGCAGACUCCUUGGAAACUGGGGAAAGAAAUCUACAUCUCCAGUUCCUUCUUCUUACAACGGUGGAAUAAUGCAUCACAGAGAAAUGCACCUGAAAAAGUCCUUCAUUUUGUGUCAGGUAA
Molecule: non-coding RNA, 695 nt
Organism: Pocillopora verrucosa
Lineage: Eukaryota; Metazoa; Cnidaria; Anthozoa; Scleractinia; Pocilloporidae
Source: RefSeq, a predicted model, not a curated record